RNAcentral lists this ribosomal RNA (424 nucleotides) under Verrucomicrobiota bacterium. Its description in RNAcentral is "Verrucomicrobia bacterium partial 16S ribosomal RNA". It matches the Rfam family "Bacterial small subunit ribosomal RNA", at positions 355 to 776 of the family's 1533-position model. Lineage: Bacteria; Pseudomonadati; Verrucomicrobiota. The record is from RNAcentral.
UGAGGAAUAUUGGUCAAUUGACGCAAGUCUGAACCAGCCAAGUAGCGUGCAGGAUGACGGCCCUAUGGGUUGUAAACUGCUUUUAUAUGGGGAUAAAGUGGGGAACGUGUUCCCUUUUGCAGGUACCAUAUGAAUAAGGACCGGCUAAUUCCGUGCCAGCAGCCGCGGUCAUACGGAAGGUUCGGGCGUUAUCCGGAUUUAUUGGGUUUAAAGGGAGCGUAGGCCGUUUGGUAAGCGUGUUGUGAAAUGUAGGAGCUCAACUUCUAGAUUGCAGCGAGAACUGUCAGACUUGAGUGGGCAGAACGUAGGCGGAAUUAAUGGUGUAGCGGUGAAAUGCUUAGAUAUCAUGAAGAAAUCCGAUUGCGAAGGCAGCUUACGGGAGCGCAAAUGACGCUGAAGCCCGAAGGUGCGGGUAUCGAACAGG